Molecule: ribosomal RNA, 1155 nt
Filed under: uncultured organism
Description: bacterial SSU rRNA
Rfam family: Bacterial small subunit ribosomal RNA
Source: RNAcentral
UCUGAGAGGAUGAUCCCCCAUACUGGUACUGAGACACGGACCAGACUCCUACGGGAGGCAGCAGUGAGGAAUAUUGCGCAAUGGAGGAAACUCUGACGCAGCCAUGCCGCGUGAAGGAUGACGGCCCUAUGGGUUGUAAACUUCUUUUCUGCUUCAAGAAACAGUCGUACGUGUACGGCUUUGACGGUAGAGCAGGAAUAAGCAUCGGCUAACUCCGUGCCAGCAGACGCGGUAAUACGGAGGAUGCAAGCGUUAUCCGGAUUCAUUGGGUAUAAAGCGUGCGCAGGCGGGUGGGUAAGUCAGAGGUGAAAGCCCGCAGCUUAACUGUGGAAUUGCCUUUGAUACUGCUCACCUUGAGUCCAGCUGAGGUAGGCGGAAUGUAGUAUGUAGCGGUGAAAUGCUUAGAUAUACUACAGAACAACCGAUUUGCGAAAGGCAGCUUACCAAACUGGCACUGACGCUCAGGCACGAAAGCGUGGGGAGCGAACAGGAUUAGAUACCCUGGUAGUCCACGCCGUAAACGUUGAUCACUCGUUGUUGGCAAUACACCGUCAGCGACCUAGCUAAUGCGCUAAGUGAUCCACCUGGGGAGUACGAUCGCAAGGUUGAAACUCAAAGGAAUUGGCGGGGGCCCGCACAAGCGGAGGAGCAUGUGGUUUAAUUCGAUGAUACGCGAGGAACCUUACCUGGGCUUAAAUGUAGUGUGCAUUCCCGUGAAAACGGGACUUCCUUCGGGACCCACUACAAGGUGCUGCAUGGUUGUCGUCAGCUCGUGCCGUGAGGUGUCGGGUUAAGUCCCAUAACGAGCGCAACCCCUAUCUUUAGUUGCUAACAGGUCAUGCUGAGGACUCUAAAGAAACUGCCCGCGCAAGCGGUGAGGAAGGUGGGGAUGACGUCAAAUCAGCACGGCCCUUAUGUCCAGGGCUACACACGUGCUACAAUGGCAGGUACAGUGGGCAGCUAUCACGCAAGUGAAUGCUAAUCUCUAAAACCUGUCUCAGUCCGGAUUGGAGUCUGCAACCCGACUCCAUGAAGCUGGAUUCGCUAGUAAUCGCACAUCAGCCAUGGUGCGGUGAAUACGUUCCCGGGCCUUGUACACACCGCCCGUCAAGCCAUGGAAGCUGGGAGUACCUGAAGUCUGUAACCGUAAGGAGC